AAGCAACUGGGUGCAACUUUUAAUCUCAUUUCAUAGCUAACUAAGCCAUGUAUAUAUGUCAUCAUGUUUAGAACUUUAAGUACACAAGUUACUUUAAGUUCGUCCCUCUUAUUUUCAAAACUUCAAAACUUCAAAACUUUAUUCCUAAAGUCAAUGUCAUACUAAACUAAUCAUGCAAGGCAACUUCAACUCACACAUUAUACUUGUUUGUACAUGUUUCUAC
RNAcentral lists this long non-coding RNA (223 nucleotides) under Panax ginseng (ginseng). RNAcentral's name for it is "long non-coding RNA (PGIN_LNC011698)". The record is from RNAcentral. Lineage: Eukaryota; Viridiplantae; Streptophyta; Magnoliopsida; Apiales; Araliaceae.